GACGAACGCUGGCGGCGUGCUUAACACAUGCAAGUCGAGCGAUGAAGCACCUUCGGGUGUGAAUUAGCGGCGAACGGGUGAGGAACACGUGAGAAAUCUGCCUUCAACACUGGGAUAACUCCGGGAAACCGGGGCUAAUACCGGAUAUGAAACCUGCGGGCAUCCGCGGGUUUGGAAAGUUUUUCGGUUGAAGAUGAUCUCGCGGCCUAUCAGCUUGUUGGUGAGGUAAUGGCUCACCAAGGCGACGACGGGUAGCCGGCCUGAGAGGGCGACCGGCCACACUGGGACUGAGACACGGCCCAGACUCCUACGGGAGGCAGCAGUGGGGAAUAUUGGGCAAUGGAGGAAACUCUGACCCAGCGACGCCGCGUGCGGGAUGAAGGCCUUCGGGUUGUAAACCGCUUUCAGCAGGGAGGAUUAUGACGGUACCUAUAGAAUAAGGACCGGCUAACUACGUGCCAGCAGCCGCAGUAA
Molecule: ribosomal RNA, 474 nt
Filed under: uncultured bacterium
Lineage: Bacteria
Description: partial 16S ribosomal RNA
Rfam family: Bacterial small subunit ribosomal RNA
Source: RNAcentral